CCCCAGCUGAGUCCUGCCGGGAAUAAACGCUCCUUGUGUCUGCUCAAAACCACCGUGCUUCCCCUGGAUGGGGACGUGGACAAACAGCAGCAACACCUGGGGCUGGUGUUUCCCAGGUGGUGUUUUGCUGUUUCUCUAGUUUCAGCAGUGGGAUUAGAGAGGUGUUGUUCCUGUUAACCAAUCGUGUUGGGUCUGCAUCAGAACACCUUACAAAAGGUGUUAUAAAAGUGACGCUGGAUAACCAGGAGAGGAUGUGGAUUCCUAAAAGCACACCAAGCCACUCUGCCGGACGAUAAACGCGUCCUAAAACCCCCUCCCACCACAAGCAGGGUCACCCCCGGGACAGAUAUUUAUUCCUAAGAAACUGCCAGGUGGGAUUUAUUGACUGAGCAACCACUCGCCAGCAGUGGUUUUGCAGGAACCUCUGGGGGAAUGCCGGGGAAGCCCUGACCCAGGGAAGGCUCUGCCAGCUGCCUGGCUCCUCACGUCCCUCCGCCUGCAGGCUCCAAGUGCUGCUGCUCCCUGGCAGUGCCAGCGGCCCUCUGAUGGCCUCUCCCUGAUGGGUCUCUGGAGGAAGACCACAAAUUAGAGACUUUCACCCUGCGUGGAUGAUAAUAAGUCCAAGAACAAAGACAGAUUGCAGUAACCAAGGGCUGGAUCAAUAGCUUUAAUCCUAGAGCACAGACAGCCCCUAUUAAUUCAAAGUAAAACACUCCAGACUGAGAAUUUAGUGGUUAGAAACAAAUUGGUUUUGAAAACUCGUUUGUUUUCCUUUUCCCCCUCAUCCCUUCUCUAAUUUGGGGGAUGCAGCAGGGGUGGAUUUCUUCCUCCGAGGAGGAGCACUGCCAACCUUGUCUCUGGAGUCAGCCAACACACCAGGCAGGAGCGUGGGGAGAGGCAGGACAGCUUUCCUGAGCACAGAGCACUCCCCCAGCGGAGCCUCUCCAGGGAUAAAUGACAAUUCCAGCAUGUUUGGCCUGGGGGCCGUGCAUGCUGCAGAGCCAGCCCCACCCUGGUGCCUGGGAGCUGGGCUGGAGGUUUCUCUGUCCCGGGGAAAUCUUCCAUUGCCCUCUGGCUGGCUGUGAGGGAAGCCAAGGGACAGCCCAGGCCCUGUGCUGGCCCCACAGCGGACUGGGGCUGCUGUUCCUGGGCUCCUUCACCUGGAGGUGGUGGAGUGUCCCCUCCUGUGUCCCGCUCCGGGGAUGCUGUUGGUGGCCAGAGGAGGUGGAUGGCAGCAGGGUGACAGCAGUGCCCACCUGACCCGGGCUCCGGAGGAGGGGGAAUUCCACAGAGGCUCUGGGAACCCAGGGCUCUCACCGUGCCCUGACCAACAGCCCACGGCAGGGGAUGGGCGACAGGUCAGGGGACAAGGGGGGAGCCUGGAAGGUCUCUCUGGUUCCCUUUUCUUUCCCCACCGCAAGUUUCUUUUGUGACUCCAGCGAGUCAUUUAAUGUCUCCAAGGUUCCCCAUUUGCAAGAGCGGACUUUCCCAAUCUCCCAGGAAUGUUACAGGGAUAAAUGCACCAAGGAGCCUCUUUUGAUGUAGCCAGGGGUUCAGCCAGCUCCUCCCCCGAGCAGACAGACAGGAAAAAUCCUGAUGAUUUUCUGCGAACACGUCAGGUAUUGCUAAGAAAGGCAGGAGAGUUUUGUGUGGCUGCAUCAAAGCACGCAGGGAUGUUUGGAAGCUGCUCUCCAUAACUGAUAUGAUUUGCCAUGGACAAGACACUGGAGUUUGGCCGUGUUAGAGGCUGCUGCUUUAGGCCCUUGAAUAGCUCAAGGGAAGGCAGAGA
This is a long non-coding RNA of Hirundo rustica (Barn swallow), 1789 nucleotides long. RefSeq lists it as uncharacterized. Lineage: Eukaryota; Metazoa; Chordata; Aves; Passeriformes; Hirundinidae. The record is from RefSeq and is a predicted model, not a curated record. The transcript is spliced from 3 exons.